Long non-coding RNA from Bombus pyrosoma, 403 nucleotides. RefSeq lists it as uncharacterized. NCBI's taxonomy places the organism in Eukaryota, Metazoa, Arthropoda, Insecta, Hymenoptera, Apidae. The record is from RefSeq and is a predicted model, not a curated record. The transcript has 2 exons.
GGUCGCGCGAAAGCUUCGUCGCUUCUUGCGGUCCGCGAUUUGAAUUCCCGUUUUCCACGUUGCGUUGCACAGAUUUUCUACCGUUGCUGCUAUACUCGUCAUAUCAAGAAAUCAAUAUUUUUGACGAACAGUCAGUAGAAGGAUUGCUGCUACCUGGGAUUGAUCUUUACUGUGUUUCAGUGAUUACACGUUUUUUAUUUUCACUAGAAAUAUCGCUAGUAACGAUAAGUCUACGUACAAAAUACUCCAUAGCCCUAUCAAUGAAGAUCGGUCACAUUGCUUAGGCCAAUCUACUCAAAGGCACAAACUUCAGUCUCAACAUGUGUCAAUAAAUAGAAUUACAUAACAGUACAAUAAAAAUACAUCUUGUAAACGGUGUAAAAUACAGUACAAUUUUUUCUUA